GAUGAAGAACGCAGCGAAAUGCGAUAAGUAAUGUGAAUUGCAGAAUUCAGUGAAUCAUCGAAUCUUUGAACGCACAUUGCGCCCGGCAGUACUCUGCCGGGCAUGCCUGUUCGAGCGUCAUUUCAACCCUCAAGCCCUGCUUGGUGUUGGGGCCCUACGGCUGCCGUAGGCCCUGAAAGGAAGUGGCGGGCUCGCUACAACUCCGAGCGUAGUAAUUCAUUAUCUCGCUUAGGGCGUUGGGCGGCGCUCCAGCCGUUAAAGGACCAUCUUUAACUCAAGGUUGACCUCGGAUCAGGUAGGAAUACCCGCUGAACUUAAGCAUAUCAAUAAGCGGAGGA
This 338-nucleotide unclassified non-coding RNA is filed under the name soil metagenome. RNAcentral describes it as "partial contains 5.8S ribosomal RNA, internal transcribed spacer 2, and large subunit ribosomal RNA". The stretch from base 1 to 120 matches the Rfam family "5.8S ribosomal RNA", at positions 35 to 154 of the family's 154-position model. The record is from RNAcentral.